This is a non-coding RNA of Drosophila bipectinata, 388 nucleotides long. The record is from RefSeq and is a predicted model, not a curated record. NCBI's taxonomy places the organism in Eukaryota, Metazoa, Arthropoda, Insecta, Diptera, Drosophilidae.
UGGGAUUUCUUGUUUCGGCGGAAGGUAUUUUGGGUCGUUUUGGGUGCGGUCACGCUGCAAAUAAUCAACAACCCUAGCUAUACGUGUUGGUACGGUCGGCGGUUAUGCGGGUAUUUCUAAUCUAAGCCAUACACCUAAAGAUACAGUGCGGAAUCGGAAAGUCGAAUGCAAUAAAAGUGUUUCUGGGCGCUGUCAACUUAGUAGUUAAUUGCAAAAGCUUCUCAAAACCAAGUAGGAUACCUAAAGUGUUAAACCAAAUGUUAGUAUAAGCCUAAAGUGUAUAACUAGUGUAAGCCAAAAAAAAAGCGCAAACGUGUCAUCCCAGCGAUCUUGCUAUCAAAAAAAAAAACGCGUCUAAACCAAACACACACAUACACACUCACGCUUA